ACGUAUCCGACCUGCCGUCUACUCUUGGACAGCCUUCUGAAAGGAAGAUCAAUACAAGAUGGCAUCAUGAGUCCGCAUGUUCACAUGAUUAAAGGUAUUCCGGUAGACGAUGGGGAUGCGUUCCAUUAGAUAGUAGGCGGGGUAACGGCCCACCUAGUCUUCGAUGGAUAGGGGUUCUGAGAGGAAGGUCCCCCACAUUGGAACUGAGACACGGUCCAAACUCCUACGGGAGGCAGCAGUGAGGAAUAUUGGUCAAUGGGCGAGAGCCUGAACCAGCCAAGUAGCGUGAAGGAUGACUGCCCUAUGGGUUGUAAACUUCUUUUAUAAAGGAAUAAAGUCGGGUAUGGAUACCCGUUUGCAUGUACUUUAUGAAUAAGGAUCGGCUAACUCCGUGCCAGCAGCCGCGGUAAUACGGAGGAUCCGAGCGUUAUCCGGAUUUAUUGGGUUUAAAGGGAGCGUAGAUGGAUGUUUAAGUCAGUUGUGAAAGUUUGCGGCUCAACCGUAAAAUUGCAGUUGAUACUGGAUAUCUUGAGUGCAGUUGAGGCAGGCGGAAUUCGUGGUGUAGCGGUGAAAUGCUUAGA
Molecule: ribosomal RNA, 581 nt
Filed under: uncultured Bacteroidales bacterium
Lineage: Bacteria; Pseudomonadati; Bacteroidota; Bacteroidia; Bacteroidales
Description: bacterial SSU rRNA
Rfam family: Bacterial small subunit ribosomal RNA
Source: RNAcentral